This 370-nucleotide ribosomal RNA is filed under the name uncultured organism. Its description in RNAcentral is "bacterial SSU rRNA". It matches the Rfam family "Bacterial small subunit ribosomal RNA", at positions 526 to 896 of the family's 1533-position model. The record is from RNAcentral.
CGAAGGGGGCUAGCAUUGUUCGGAAUUACUGGGCGUAAAGCGCGCGCAGGCGGUUCUUCAAGUCAGAGGUGAAAGCCCAGGGCUCAACCCUGGAAUGGCCUUUGAGACUAGAGAACUAGGGUACGGGAGAGGUGAGUGGAAUUCCGAGUGUAGAGGUGAAAUUCGUAGAUAUUCGGAAGAACACCAGUGGCGAAGGCGGCUCACUGGCCCGUUACCGACGCUCAGGCGCGACAGCGUGGGGAGCAAACAGGAUUAGAUACCCUGGUAGUCCACGCCGUAAACGAUGGAUGCUAGCCGUUGGUAAGCAUGCUUAUCAGUGGCGCAGCUAACGCAUUAAGCGUCCCGCCUGGGGAGUACGGCCGCAAGGUUG